UCCUGAGUAACUCAGUCAGUAAAGCAUCUGCCUGCAAUGCGGGAGACCUGGGUUCAAUUCCUGGGUCAGGAA
This 72-nucleotide transfer RNA is filed under the name Bos taurus (domestic cattle). It matches the Rfam family "tRNA". Rfam says of the family: Transfer RNA (tRNA) molecules are approximately 80 nucleotides in length. The record is from Rfam by way of RNAcentral. Lineage: Eukaryota; Metazoa; Chordata; Mammalia; Artiodactyla; Bovidae.